AAUCGGUAGACGCUACGGACUUAAAAUCCGUCGACUUUCUAAGUCGUGAGGGUUCAAGUCCCUCUAUCCCCA
RNAcentral lists this transfer RNA (72 nucleotides) under Cinnagrostis tarmensis. RNAcentral describes it as "partial tRNA-Leu". It matches the Rfam family "tRNA", at positions 14 to 71 of the family's 71-position model. Rfam says of the family: Transfer RNA (tRNA) molecules are approximately 80 nucleotides in length. Their secondary structure includes four short double-helical elements and three loops (D, anti-codon, and T loops). Further hydrogen bonds mediate the characteristic L-shaped molecular structure. tRNAs have two regions of fundamental functional importance: the anti-codon, which is responsible for specific mRNA codon recognition, and the 3' end, to which the tRNAs corresponding amino acid is attached (by aminoacyl-tRNA synthetases). tRNAs cope with the degeneracy of the genetic code in two manners: having more than one tRNA (with a specific anti-codon) for a particular amino acid; and 'wobble' base-pairing, i.e. permitting non-standard base-pairing at the 3rd anti-codon position. Lineage: Eukaryota; Viridiplantae; Streptophyta; Magnoliopsida; Poales; Poaceae. The record is from RNAcentral.